CGGGACGUGGCUCAGCUUGGUAGAGCACUACCUUGGGGUGGUAGGGGUCGUGGGUUCGAAUCCCGCCGUUCCGACCA
RNAcentral lists this transfer RNA (77 nucleotides) under Pectinatus haikarae. RNAcentral's name for it is "tRNA-Pro". It matches the Rfam family "tRNA". From Rfam's summary of the family: Transfer RNA (tRNA) molecules are approximately 80 nucleotides in length. Their secondary structure includes four short double-helical elements and three loops (D, anti-codon, and T loops). The record is from RNAcentral. Lineage: Bacteria; Bacillati; Bacillota; Negativicutes; Selenomonadales; Selenomonadaceae.